GACGAACGCUGGCGGCGUGCUUAUCACAUGCAAGUCGAACGAUGAACCCGGAGCUUGCUCCGGCGGAUUAGUGGCGAACGGGUGAGUAACACGUGAGUAACCUGCCCUUGACUCUGGGAUAACUGCGGGAAACUGUAGCUAAUACCGGAUACGACCCUCGGCGGCAUCGCCAGGGGGUGGAAAGAAUUUCGGUCAAGGAUGGACUCGCGGCCUAUCAGCUAGUUGGUGAGGUAACGGCUCACCAAGGCGACGACGGGUAGCCGGCCUGAGAGGGUGACCGGCCACACUGGGACUGAGACACGGCCCAGACUCCUACGGGAGGCAGCAGUGGGGAAUAUUGCACAAUGGGCGCAAGCCUGAAGCAGCAACGCCGCGUGAGGGAUGACGGCCUUCGGGUUGUAAACCUCUUUUAGUAGGGAAGAAGCGAAAGUGACGGUACCUGCAGAAAAAGCACCGGCUAACUACGUGCCAGCCGCCGCGGUAA
This 484-nucleotide ribosomal RNA is filed under the name uncultured bacterium. RNAcentral describes it as "partial 16S ribosomal RNA". It matches the Rfam family "Bacterial small subunit ribosomal RNA", at positions 28 to 523 of the family's 1533-position model. The record is from RNAcentral.